This 5235-nucleotide long non-coding RNA is filed under the name Triticum aestivum (bread wheat). RNAcentral describes it as "long non-coding RNA (TAES_LNC013274)". The record is from RNAcentral. Lineage: Eukaryota; Viridiplantae; Streptophyta; Magnoliopsida; Poales; Poaceae.
GACAAGUGAAGGGGCACGCCAAGCAGGAAUCAGGGGAGGGGGUCUCUGGAAUGUGGUCGUUGCUGCUCGUUUCUAAUGCCAUCGGUCGUUGAUGGAUGUUCUGUACCUCCCUCUCUUUCAGGCUGCUGCCAUCACCACUCUCAAAUGAAAAAAGUUAUGGUCCGUUGUUAGUUGAUACUGUUUUUUGUUUUGUUCUUUUGUUUAGAAAAAAAUCAAGUGGACUUCAGUUAGCUAUUGCAGGAGAAGACAAAAAAAUGCAAGAUUUAGUUUGUAAUUAUUGAAGAAAUCUGAUGUAGUUCGUUUGUGUGAUGACUUUGAUUCGCUAUGUAAAAAGAAAAUGGAAAACCCACGAUGAAGCCCUUCUUUUGUAAAGAGCACUUCACUUCGUCCUUGUGCCAAAACUACAAACAAAAAUGAACGGCAAAAAACAAAUAUAUAAAAUGCUGCAGCCCUCUUCGUCUGUGUGUACGCUGGCGUCGACGAGCCUACGGAAGCAGCUCUCUGCUCAACUUGUUGCGGUUCCCUGGCGGCGGGAGAGAAGUGCACUGCUAUAGGGUGCUAUCCCUAACGGGGGCAGGGGGUCAGCCGCUGCAGUGCAGCUCAAAAACAUGUGCCAGAUGGUUCGGUGCUUUGGCCAGGAUGGCGACGAGUGCUGCUCUGGGUCAACGCCAUUGUGUCUCCUUCUGCCGAGUGCAGUACUCACCUCACUGCGCUGCAGUCCGUAUUUCCAGUGCUUGCAGCUCGCAACCCGCCAAUGUGCCGUCAAGCAAAAAUUCUGCAGUGCACUUGCCCAUGAGAAGUUCACUUCUUUUUCUAAUGCACUUUGUUUCGUUUGUGGCUCUCGAAAACAUGCAUAGAAGAAAAGAAAAAAAUUAAGUGCAGCUCACUUGUUUUAUUGCUGUAGUGAUCUUCUAUCUCCGAGCGGUUCACUAUGUUGCCAAGUGCAAAAACAAAAUGGAAGAAAACAAACUGGAAAAAGUUGAUUUUUUUAAUGGAGCUCACUCUGUUGUUUGUGUGCAGUAGAAAGAAAAUUGGAAAAGAACAAUUGAUGCAGUACACUCACCUCGUCCCUAGAGUGCGUACUCGUUGAUAAAAAAACAUUAUGGAGGCGAUAAAAGAAAAAUAAUGUGGUUCACUUUUCAUAGUAUUGAGGUUCACCAACGCUCGACAUGAAGUGCACUCCACCUUGUUUGGAAAAGUGGAAAAAAUUUAGUCCCACAAAACAUAAAUCAUGCAGUGCACUUGCCCGUCCGAUGAAGUGCGAGUUUUAGUCUAAAUAAGUGCACUCCACCUCGUUUAGAAAUAUUUACGUCACACAAAAAAGAAAUCAUGCAGUGCACAUGUCUGUCCAAUGAAGUGCGGUUUUUAGUCCAAAUAAGUGUGGUUUUCUGUCUGAUGCAGUACGGCCCGUUUACGGUAGUCCCGAGGUUCACUUUUCAUAGUCUUGCGGUUUACCAACACUCGACAUGAAGUGCACUCCACCUCGUUUGCGAAAAUUUACAUCCCACAAAAAAGAAAUCAUGCAGUGUACUUGUUUGUCUAAUGAAGUGCGGUUGUUCGUCCGAUGCAGUGCGGUUUUCAGUCGGAUGAAGUACCCACGUCGAUUUGGGUGUCGCGAAAAACAGAGUGUCCGCAUUUCGGUAAAUUUAAAACUGCUCUUAAACUGUAAGGAAUUAGAGAGAGUGUUCUACAUGAAAAACUUGCGUCUCGUCGAUAUCUUUCCAACGGCAUAUCAUUUGAAUCAUUUCGACAACCGGUUUGUAAAAAUUUCGCGAAAAACGGCCGCUGCCACUCGUCGUCUGCCGCAUGAUUUUCAAAAUUAACUUAAAACUGUAAGGAAUCUCAAAACCAUUUCUACAUAUGAAAGUUGCACCUUGUCCAUAGCUUUCCAACGACGUAUUACACGCCUCGUUUCGACAAACGAUUCAAAAACUAGAGCAAAAACAGUACCGAAAAUUGCAAAAAUUUCAAAAAAAACAUAAUUCCGCGAUUUAGUAAAUUCGAAAUUGCUCUUGAACCGUAACGAAUUAGAGAAAAUAAUAGAUACGAAAAAGAUGCGCCUUGACGAUAUCUUUCCGAUGAGUGGUUAAGAAAAAAUCACAAAAAAUAUGCUCGCUGCCACUCGUCAUCCGCCGCACCAUUUUUGAAACUGCUCUUAAACCGAGAAGAAUCUCGAAAAGUGUUCAACAUGGCGAAGUUGCGCCUAAUCAAUAGCUUUUCAACGGUAUAUUAUACGCCUUGUUUCGAUAAACGGUUAAAAAAUUAGAGCGAAAACAGUACCGGAAAAACACUACGUGCAACUUUUUUCGACACGAAGUUCAUUCGUGUGAGUACUGCAGCACACUUGGUUCAAACAAUGACGUGCACUUGCAUUGAGCGUGCAGUGCGGAAGUGUUAUCAGAAUAACUAUUCUGAUAAUAUUAUCAGAAUAGACCGGAUGUGUGUGUAUAUAUAUAGGGCUGGAAUAUUCUGUUACCUGUAACAGAAUAUUAUUCUGUUACCCCCGCGCCCUAUAUAGAGCGAUGAGAGCCAAAAAGCACAACUAAUCUUUCCGGCCCGACAGAAGCCUCUCAUCCUCCUAGACCCACGCGACCAGGAUCCCCUCCCCCCAGCGUGCCGUCGGCCGGUCCUCGGCCCCUCCCCUUGCGCGCCGUCGGGCGUCCCCUCCUCUUGUGCGCCGCCGGCCGGCCCCUCCUCUUGCGCGCCGCCGACCGCCCCACCUCUCCCAGCGCGCCGCCGCGGAUCCCCUCUCCCUCACUCCCGGCGGCGCCCCGCCUCCACCUUCUCCCUCACUCUCGGCGCCACCCGACCCCCAACCUCCAUGGAUUCCGGCGGCGCCCCGCCCUCACCACCACCCUUUCUCCCGGCCGUCCCUGCCGCCUGUGCGCGUGAGGUCCGGCGGCCACCUCUGCUCAAAACUGCACGCACGCGAGGGCAUCCCAGCCGCCGUGUCUUCAGCUCUUGUUCAACAAUAAAACCACCAGCAGUCCAUGCUAAUUUUUUUUCUUCCAUCUCUACUGCUCUUCUCUCACUAAUUUGUUUUCUGUCUGAACUGCAGCACAAGGGAGAUUGAACGGGUUGCAGAUUGGGGGUUCGGCUGCCCCUGCGUCCAGCAGUCCAACCCAGUAGCCCCAGGACGUCCAGCGACCUGUCGGGCUAUGGUAUGCCAUUGCAAGUCGGCGAGCAACAUUAGCGACCGUACUCUCCAAACGCCCGAUGUUCGUGUCUCCUCUCUCUCACCCAUACUUGCAGCAUGUAUGCCAUGGAUUUUGUGAAUGGAAAAAAAUCCCUCUGUAAUUCUCUCGAUUCCAAUAAUUAUUUCAGACUGUGAUAGGCAUGCAUUUGAAUUUGGUAAGCACAUGUACUCUGCUGCCCAUAACCUCAUUGUUAUGUUUAUGAGAAUUGGACAAUCUUUUUAGUUUUAUUUUCACAAUAACUAGUCCUAGCUAAGUAUAUAUUGAUGCAUCCAGAGGUACUAACGUAUUAAAUCUUGCAAAUUAGGAUUUUAACUCCUUUGAUAAUGAUGUUGAAAUUUUGAUUGAGCACGAACACUAAAAUGGCAGAGGAUUCGCUAUUGGCACUGCAACUUAUUUCCCAUAAUCUUUUACUGAACUUUGAUUAAAUAUUUCUAGCUUUUCCUUAACAAAGUUCAUGAAAAAAAUAACUGAGCUGUAUUACAGCUAGCUUCGAUAGUAGGAUCCGAAAAUGGGAAGGUGCAUGCAACCAAUUAAAACCUGCUUUUUUUAUUAAUCCUGUAAUUUUCUGCACUCUAAUUUGUCUUUUGUCCAUUCUGCUCCGCUCGCUGCCUCGUACUUGACCUUCCCGCUCCUCCACCCCUGCACUGCCGCUCCCUCCUGCUGUCCUCACCCACAAGCUCGGUCCCUCGACAGAAAUUGCUGAAUCCUACUGGUGCUGCUUCUCCGAUGAGGUCAUCGUGCUGCACAUGCGCUGGCAAACGACAUCAUCUCUGGUUUUGUUUCCCUUGACACUCGGUAAGACAGGAAAUUCUUCAGUGCUAGUUCAAUGAAAGAAACAGCAGCAGUUCACUAAUCUAAAAAAAAUCACAUUUUUGGACGCACGCCAAGUGUAUGCUACAAUGUCAGUGCACCGGACUACUAGCUUUGCUCUGUUCAUCGUUUAUUUGUAGCUACCUUGUACUUCAAAAUUGCUAGAGACGGCAUGCUCCCUUGGCUUCAACUACGCCGCGGGCUUGCUCCACUUGUCUUCCACAGCGCCACCGGCAGACAAGCCUGGAUGUCGUCAUCCGAACCGCCGCACCGCCCGGCCGCCACGCUCCUCCAGCUACCAUCUGGCGGCGCGCGGUGCUCCAAGCACGUCCUCUGGAUGCCCCCUCCUCUUGCCUACUCCCUGCGAAGCGCCCGGCUGUCUCCCUCCUGCCCCGUCCGUCCAGGUAUGGUACUCACACCAGUUCAAGUAGUGAUAUUGCGACAAGUACAGCUCCUCCCCUGUCAAGCUUAGUGCGCCAAAAAAGAGCAUAUUGAUGGAUGAUUGCUAGCUCGCUUCAUCAUUGGCUGAUUUUCCCGUCUACUAACUUGUGGUUAAUUCCUUCUAUCCUUCUGUUGUAUCUUUAUUUGGAGAUUUAUACUUGUGGAUGCCCAGCUUGUCAUGAAAAGUUCCAAAAAUUGUCGUAUAUUAAGUUCAAAUGUCUCACUUAUGAGUAGAACUUUUGUAGUUUGCUUGAACUGAUAGUUGAGACUUGCUGAGCCUCCAUGCUUUGUAGUUUGUGUGAAUUGAUAGUUGAGACUCGAUGAACUCUGUCCGUCUCGACUGUUGAACUGUAGCUGAUGGUUUUGUUUCUUUCGUAGGCUUAAGAUCGUCCUAUAUAGAUCAGCGGUUACUAUUUCUUUGCUCUGACUAUAUUUCUCAAUAGCAUUUUGUUUCUAUAAGUUUGUUGAAACCUACCUAAUAUAUAGCUAAUUCAACAUCCGACAUUUCUGCUGCAUUUGUAUGCCCACACCCUCAUAUGUUUGUACAAAAAAGAAAAUGGAUGUUAGAGUGGGUGAUUAAAAAACUCAAUGUUCUUCUGUUAUUCGAGCAGGCACCUGAAAAAAAUGUUCACCUUGGUUAGAUGAACCAAACGGGUCGUGUACUUCUUCUCUUAUUUGAGGAGGCACCUGAAAAAAAAUAAACAGAAUAAAUAAGAUGGCAGUAACAACCAGGUUGAACUUUUUAUAAUUUUCUGUGUAUGAUUGCAGUACUUUUUGUAAAAAAAAA